GAUGAAGAACGCAGCGAAAUGCGAUACGUAAUGUGAAUUGCAGAAUUCAGUGAAUCAUCGAAUCUUUGAACGCACAUUGCGCCCGCCAGUAUUCUGGCAGGCAUGCCUGUCUGAGCGUCAUUUCAACCCUCAUGCCCCUAGGGCGUGGUGUUGGGGAUCGGCCAAAGCCCGCGAGGGACGGCCGGCCCCUAAAUCUAGUGGCGGACCCGUCGUGGCCUCCUCUGCGAAGUAGUGAUAUUCCGCAUCGGAGAGCGACGAGCCCCUGCCGUUAAACCCCCAACUUUCCAAGGUUGACCUCAGAUCAGGUAGGAAUACCCGCUGAACUUAAGCAUAUCAAUAAGCGGAGGA
RNAcentral lists this unclassified non-coding RNA (348 nucleotides) under soil metagenome. RNAcentral's name for it is "partial contains 5.8S ribosomal RNA, internal transcribed spacer 2, and large subunit ribosomal RNA". The stretch from base 1 to 120 matches the Rfam family "5.8S ribosomal RNA", at positions 35 to 154 of the family's 154-position model. The record is from RNAcentral.